RNAcentral lists this ribosomal RNA (253 nucleotides) under uncultured prokaryote. Its description in RNAcentral is "partial 16S ribosomal RNA". It matches the Rfam family "Bacterial small subunit ribosomal RNA", at positions 525 to 777 of the family's 1533-position model. The record is from RNAcentral.
ACGGGGGGGGCAAGCGUUGUUCGGAAUUACUGGGCGUAAAGGGCUCGUAGGCGGCCAACUAAGUCAGACGUGAAAUCCCUCGGCUUAACCGGGGAACUGCGUCUGAUACUGGAUGGCUUGAGGUUGGGAGAGGGAUGCGGAAUUCCAGGUGUAGCGGUGAAAUGCGUAGAUAUCUGGAGGAACACCGGUGGCGAAGGCGGCAUCCUGGACCAAUUCUGACGCUGAGGAGCGAAAGCCAGGGGAGCAAACGGGA